Molecule: ribosomal RNA, 200 nt
Filed under: Pleosporineae sp.
Lineage: Eukaryota; Fungi; Ascomycota; Dothideomycetes; Pleosporales
Description: partial large subunit ribosomal RNA
Source: RNAcentral
CCAGACUUGGGCUUGGUUAAUCAUCUGGGGUUCUCCCCAGUGCACUUUUCCAGUCCAGGCCAGCAUCAGUUUGGGCGGUUGGAUAAAGGUCUCUGUCACGUACCUCCUCUCGGGGAGGCCUUAUAGGGGAGACGACAUGCAACCAGCCUGGACUGAGGUCCGCGCAUCUGCUAGGAUGCUGGCGUAAUGGCUGUAAGCGG